Molecule: ribosomal RNA, 595 nt
Filed under: uncultured Aurantimonas sp.
Lineage: Bacteria; Pseudomonadati; Pseudomonadota; Alphaproteobacteria; Hyphomicrobiales; Aurantimonadaceae
Description: bacterial SSU rRNA
Rfam family: Bacterial small subunit ribosomal RNA
Source: RNAcentral
GGGGAGUGGCAGACGGGUGAGUAACGCGUGGGAAUCUACCCAUCUCUACGGGAUAGCUCCGGGAAACUGGAAUUAAUACCGUAUACGUCCUGAGGGAGAAAGAUUUAUCGGGGAUGGAUGAGCCCGCGUUGGAUUAGCUAGUUGGUGGGGUAAAGGCCUACCAAGGCGACGAUCCAUAGCUGGUCUGAGAGGAUGACCAGCCACAUUGGGACUGAGACACGGCCCAAACUCCUACGGGAGGCAGCAGUGGGGAAUAUUGGACAAUGGGCGCAAGCCUGAUCCAGCCAUGCCGCGUGAGUGAUGAAGGUCUUAGGAUUGUAAAGCUCUUUCAGUGGGGACGAUAAUGACGGUACCCACAGAAGAAGCCCCGGCUAACUUCGUGCCAGCAGCCGCGGUAAUACGAAGGGGGCUAGCGUUGUUCGGAAUUACUGGGCGUAAAGCGCACGUAGGCGGAUAUUUAAGUCGGGGGUGAAAUCCCGGGGCUCAACCCCGGAACUGCCUUCGAUACUGGGUAUCUUGAGUUCGGAAGAGGUGAGUGGAAUUGCGAGUGUAGAGGUGAAAUUCGUAGAUAUUCGCAGGAACACCAGUGGCGAAG